GCUGGGCGUGGUGGCGCGUGCCUGUAGUCCCAGCUACUCGGGAGGCUGAAGUGGGAGGAUCGCUUGAGCCCAGGAGUUCUGGGCUGUAGUGCGCUAUGCCGAUCGGGUGUCCGCACUAAGUUUGGCAUCAGUAUGGUGACCUCCCGGGAGCGGGGGACCACCAGGUUGCCUAAGGAGGGGUGAACCGGCCCAGGUCGGAAACGGAGCAGGUCAAAACUCUUGUGCUGAUCAAUAGUGGGAUCGCGCCUGUGAAUAGCCACUGCACUCCAGCCUGGGCAACACAGCAAGACCCCGUCUCU
RNAcentral lists this signal recognition particle RNA (299 nucleotides) under Aotus nancymaae (Ma's night monkey). Its description in RNAcentral is "Metazoan signal recognition particle RNA (ENSANAG00000000195.1)". It matches the Rfam family "Metazoan signal recognition particle RNA". Rfam says of the family: The signal recognition particle (SRP) is a universally conserved ribonucleoprotein. Lineage: Eukaryota; Metazoa; Chordata; Mammalia; Primates; Aotidae. The record is from RNAcentral.